CCCUGUGCUAAAGGUUCAUCCAAGAAGGCUCCCAAGCUGUCACCAUAGUCGAUAAGCUGUACAUCAACCCAACUUUAUCACGCCCAGAACAUCACGCCAUGGCUGUACUCAAUCAGAUUUUGGGUCACUCGGACUAAAUCUUGGGUGGCUGCACAGUCUCAUUGCCAUUGCCUCGAAAUUGAAUUAGAUAUUUGUGGUGAUUUGGUGCAAGAGAUAGCAAACCAGUGCGCGACAUAAUGGG
Oreochromis niloticus (Nile tilapia) is the source of this 241-nucleotide long non-coding RNA. RefSeq lists it as uncharacterized. The transcript is spliced from 3 exons. NCBI's taxonomy places the organism in Eukaryota, Metazoa, Chordata, Actinopteri, Cichliformes, Cichlidae. The record is from RefSeq and is a predicted model, not a curated record.